UGGUUCUGUAGGAGAAUUCUUGCCUUCAAUGCCAGUGACCCAGGUUCGAUUCCUGG
RNAcentral lists this transfer RNA (56 nucleotides) under Loxodonta africana (African savanna elephant). Lineage: Eukaryota; Metazoa; Chordata; Mammalia; Proboscidea; Elephantidae. The record is from Rfam by way of RNAcentral.